RNAcentral lists this long non-coding RNA (5982 nucleotides) under Sarcophilus harrisii (Tasmanian devil). RNAcentral's name for it is "lncRNA (ENSSHAG00000024981.1)". Lineage: Eukaryota; Metazoa; Chordata; Mammalia; Dasyuromorphia; Dasyuridae. The record is from RNAcentral.
GGGAGGUCCCAGCCGGUGUGCACUGGAGAACGCCGGCUCCCCCUCCCCUGCUUUGGGGUCCUUGCCCCUCCAUGGGUCUCCAGACUCGGCUCUGUCCCUGGGGCUCCCCGUUCUCCCUCCUGCAGGCCGUGCGCUUAUCUCCGAGACUGUGGAUCCCGGUCUCCCGCGCUGUGUCCCCCCCAUCCUUGCUGCGCGGCUGCCUCCUGUCUCUCCCUCCCCCUCCCCUUCUCCUCGGCUCUGUCCUUGUCCUAGCUUGCCCUGGGAGGACGGACAAGCAGGGGCUGGGCCCGAGCGCCACCCCCGGCCCCCCGGGGAUGGGGCCAUCUUUCCGAGGAGCCUGAUGGGGCUUCUCUGCCAGGAAAGGGGGGGCUAAGGGGAGGAUCGGCAGGGGGCAGGGGCCGCUCCCUCCCUUCUUCCCUCCGCACACCCGCUGACGCUUUGGGCUAAAAACACCCGAGGGGGCCGCCGGGGGAGUAUCGCCUUCCCCGGCCCGAGGCUAAAGGGGCUGAGCGGGCGCGGCCGCAGGCAGACGCCAGAGACACCAUGAUCUUCCCAGAGGCCGCGCAGUUUGUGGUCAAUUAUUUGCUGAACCGGUGGAAGCACCGCUGGCAGAGUCUCAAUCACGAAUUUCUGGGCAGAAGGAUGAGACGCCUGAUGCCCCUGUACCUGUGACGCCCGAGGGCAGGAUUAAGGUGGGAGCCCGAGGGCGGGGACUUAGGGAAGGGUUCCGGGAACCUUUGUGCAAGAAUUAAGCGCCUACUGAAUGCGCGGCUUGGAGGGGAUUCAGGGGUGGUCCCUCAGCCCGGUAGGGGAAGGGCGCAGCGGAGCCCGGUGGAGCACCCCAUUACGCGGCGCGUGCGUCAGGGUCCUCUGUGAGGUCUGCGGGGAAGAGCCUGACCGACCUGGGGCCGGCCGGGAGGCCUCCUGGAGGAGGGAUCCUCGCCGCUGAGAUUUCGGGGGCACGGAGGGGGCGGGGCGCCAGGGCCGAGGGCUCCCGCACCCACUUGGGAGCUCUCUGGCCGAGGCCCAGGCCCUCCGCUGGGCCGCCCUUCCCCCUCUCCAGUGUUCUGGGGCUCGAGUGACCCUCUAGGACUGGGGUCAGGGGAGAGCAUCCUUGUUCUCCUUCGCCCAAGGCGGGAACCCGCCGGCCUUCUCCUUCCCAGGCUGGGCGGGCUCUGGUUGUUGUGUCAGGGAGAGGGGGGCAGGCUGGCCAGGAGGUGGCUGUCAGCGCUCUCCAGGGCUCCUCCGGGACCCUGUGGCGCUGGAGCCGGGACCCUGUGGCGCUGGAGCCGGGACCCUGUGGCGCUGGAGCCGGGACCCUGUGGCGCUGGAGCCGGGACCUGGGAUCAUCCGUGUGGGAAUCGGGAUGGUGCCACACGAUGCUCCAGCGCGCAUCCCUGCGGAUCCGGGCCUGAAAUCCAGGAGGGGGCUCUGUGGAACAGCCCCCUGCUCCCCACCCCCAGUGCCCUGGUCCCGCGGGGCCUCUCUUCUCCCCACAAACCCGCCUGCAAAAGCCGGGCUGGGGCUGGGCCUGAGCGCCUGCUCUACAAAGACCCGUCCGGCUUCAGCCACACAAACUCGGCCUCGGGGUCCUCAUCUCUAAUAGAAGCCUGGACCAGGUGAUGUCCGGGUAGUCCCAGUGUGAAAUGGCUCCAGAGAGAGGAAGACUCACUAGCCUGGCUUCUGUAAGAGUCCAUGCCUUUACCUGGAAUCCCACGGUAUUCCUCUCCGCCAGCCCCUCCCGAAGCUAAGCGCUUUGAGAAAGAGAUUUUUACUUUAUUCACCAACCUCUUCUGAGAGUGUCUGAACCUCCCCUCCCUCCCAAACUCCCAUCCUGCAAGGUGACUCCCGGGCGUUGGAUCAGCUAGUCCUCCAUCCCGAGGCUAGACUGGAGAAGUCAGGCUCUCACAAGUAGAAGGGGGAGACAAAAGGACCCAGGACUCCUGGUAGGGUAGUGGGAAAUCUUGGGACUAGAAUUCCCUACAGCAGCGUCCUCUGGCUGGAAUCAGCCACCUGCUCAGUAUACUAACCUACCCCACAUCUGGGAUGGAGAGCAUCAGAUUCUCCGGUCUCCAAUGUUAGGACAUGGACAGUAAAAUCCAAAACAAUGGAUAUAUCCUGUCCUUUGAAGAGGAACACUGACAAGCUAGAAUAUAGCCAGAGAAAGGGGUCUACCAAGAUGGUGAGAAGUCUGGAAACCAUGUCCCAAAACAGUGGUUCCUAUUUGGUUGAGAACUCCUAACAAUGGUACAAGGCAUUUAGGCUAAAAAUUAUUUAAUGGUGCCUUGAAGAGUAAAUAAUUGUAGAAUAUUUUAAAGAGCAUAUUAAAUUACCAGGGAGGUUCAUAACACACUUUUUGUUGCUGUUGAAAGGAGUUUACAGCACAAAAAUCAAUGGGAACCAUAGUCAUUGGGAAGCAGUUGAAAAAACAGGGGUUAUUGAGCCUGAAAAAGACUGCCAGGAUCCAUGAAAUGGGAUGGAAAAUGCUUAAAGGCAGAGUUAGGUUUCAUAUUAGUAAAAACUUCCUGAUUUCAAGGGUUGGCGAAAAGAAGAAAAAGCUGCCUAAUGAAGAAGUGAAUGACAUCAGCCAGCUUCUGCUUCUUUAUGUUAAAUAGGGAGAUGACAAGAUCGGGAUUCCUGUCGAGAUAUUGGGUCAGCCUCAGUGCCCUCUCAGGUUCUGUGAUUCCAAACACAAAAUGAGAAUCGGACUUCGCUGACAGGAGGAAUUUUAUCUAAAGAUAAAAUUGUUAGGAAACUGAGACCCCCCCCCCAAGGAAAAUGAGGUCAUGCCAUUGUUCAUAAUGGUUACAGCAUUCUAUCCCUUAACAGUGACCUAAGUUGCUUUCCAUCAGCCCCCAUCCCUAGGGAGAAGUUAGGCUGCCAUAUUAUACUGCAUCCCUUUCCCAAAGGACGGCGUGCACUCCACUUUCCCAAGCCUUAUUGGAGAGCAAAUACUUAGCUGAGUCACCUGUAGGUCAUCUGUUUAGAUGGUUUAAGACAAGUUGGGCCAAUUAGAUCUCUGCACAGCUGGGUCAAAGAGCCCCGCUUUGUCCUGCUUACAGAAUGACCCAGGUCAGAACUAGUCCCAAGAUCUGCCUCUAAUUAUUGUGUGACCCUGUGCCAUCCUGCAUCUGAUUCUCAGAUUUCCUAGUCUGUAAAAGAAGUCGGGACCAUUUAGCAUCAGUAGGGCCUUUUCUUCAUGGACAGUCAGUCAUCUUCCAUUCUUGGGUGUGAGGAAAAGGGAGCCAUACCUUAUGUAACAAUGAGUGGGUGGGUAUGGAGAAUAAUAGGAGAUAUUUCUGGGGGGGGGUCUCUAGGCUAUAUCUCUGGGGACUAAGUGUUUCUAGGGUUGCUUCUGGAUGAUAUCUCAGGAGGGUUAUUUCUGGGGGUAUUUGGGGAAGUCCUUGGAGGUGUUUGGGAGUUAUUUCUGAAGACAUAUUUUGGAGUGUGUUUGCACAUGUUUGUUGGGUGUUUCUUGGGGGGAGUUUCCAUGAGGGAGAGUCUGAUGGGGAGUAGUGUUUUAGGAAGAUGUUAGAAGCUUCCUCUGGGAAAUCUCUGGAAAUGUCUCUCAUAAGGGGCAGGGCCAGUGACUGUUGAACUGAAGUCCAAAAAAUAAAUAAAUAAAUAAAUCCCCUUACACUGGUGGGGGUGGUGAGACUAGCCAAGGCAAUGGACAUAUCUGGACCAAUCUCAGUGAAACCGAUUCAGGUCAUUCCUCUUGCUCUGGAGCUGCCCAAGAUUUCUAAACUCUGGGAGGGAGGGGGUCUAGUUCUUAGGAACCAAGGAGUAACCAGAAGUCAAGACUUUUAGAGGAAGAAAAAGAGUGCCCUAAGAGAGAAUUUGCAGGAAGGGACUUCCCCAGUGGUCAGUGGAAUGCCUUCCCUUUUCACCCUCAUCCCAAAGCCUUCACAAAAACACUUUCAUUUUCUCUUUUAGGGGACUUUCCCUGAAGGGAAAAUCAUGAUUGGAAAGUUGGAAACAAUCCGAAUUCAUUUAUACACACACAUACACACACACUCCUAGCAGCCUCAGACUCUAAAACCUGGAGUUCAGGAAUAAGGGGUGUUUACAGGAAACAGAAAGCAGAUGAGAGAGGGCUGCAGUGAUGGCGGUGUGGGGUCAGAAAGCAUUUUCUUGCAGCCCCUCUCUCCUUUUCCCACGGCCCCUACAGCCCUGUGAGAUCCUUGGGGAAGUGAGAGGGACUCCAUCCUGUUCCACAGACAGACACAGGUACUGAAAUCAAAUGAGGAACGAAAGAAUAUCAAAGCUUUGUGUUACAGCUGAAGCCAAAGUGCAGAAAAAAGGCUCCCAUAUUACAGAGCUUCUAGUCCCCUUUCUGCCAUUACACCAAGGGAUGGAGGGGGCUGGGAGGGAGGGCCAGGUGUCAACAUCCAAGAGGGGGACCCUAGGACUGCAGAUUUGGCUAAUCAAGUAAGAAGGCAGCGGAGACUAUAUUUGGAAGCCAUCUUUAUAGAGCUUGGGACUUACCAAAACUCCCAAAUGACUUGCCAAUGCAAAAGCUAACAUUUCUGUAGUGUUUUGUGGUUGAGAAAUGAUUUUAGAUGCAUAAUCUUAUUUGGGCUUUACAACUGAAACCCCUCCAGUAGGAAAUGCAAUUAUUGUUAACCACAUUUUACAAAAGAAGAAACUGAGACUCAGAAAAGGAAGGAAGCAAACAAGCAUUUAUUCAUCACCUACUAUGCAUUAGGCACUAUGCUAAUUUUUUACACUUUACAAAUAUUAUUUGAUUCUCACAACAACAAUCUUGAAAGGGAGAUAUUAUUCCUGUUUUACAGCUGAGGAAACUGAGGCAGGUAGAAAUUAUUUCCCUAGGAUCACACAGUUAAGGGUCCAAAGCUAGAUUUGAACUCUUCUUGCCUCCUAGGCCCAGCCACUAAACUAUGUCUCCUUUUAGAAGCCAUCUAAUCCAAUCCCCUUUUAUAGUUGAAGUAACUGAGCGUUAUAGUAAUUGGAAGUCACAGUAUGAGAGACAAAACCCAAAUCCACUGAUUCCAAACUUGGUGCUCUUUCCUCUGGUACCUCCCCCUGCCCUAUUCCUCCUUCUCAUUGCAAAGGAAGAGGUGUAUAUUCCCAUUACACAGAUGGAGAAAGUGAAAGUGAGAGAGAAACAGAGAGACAGAAACAGAGGCAGAGACAGAGGAGAGAGAGAGAGAAACAGACAGACAGCAACAGAGGCAGAGGCAGAGACAGAGGAGAGAGAGAGAGAAACAGAGACAGAGCCACAGAAACAGAAACAGAGGGAGGAGAGACAAAGAGACAGAGGAGAGAGAGAGCAGAAGGGAGAGAGAAAGGGAAAAAAGGGACAGAGACAGAGGAGGGAAAGAGAAAGAGACUGAGACCCUCUCUCAAGGUCACACAGCGAAUCUUUGAUAACACUGAGACCAAAGCCAAAGCCCAGGUCUCCAAACUGAAGUUCAGGGCUCUUGGCUCUCCUCCAGGUCACCUCCCUAAAUGGAAAAUUUGCUAUUCCCAACUUUGUGUCAUCCUCAGAGAUGAUAAGCACAUUUUCAUCUCUGAUUAACUCCCUAUUGCACUCCACACAAUAGAGUGUCUCUUCCCUUCAUGUCCCCAGUGUGGUCAAUGUUCCCACUUUCAUUUUCAGAAGAUUGAAGCCUCCUAUCAAGAGUCUCCCCAUCUCUCCUUCUCCAUGUCUCCAGUUCUCUCUACAACUGCGUCUUCUCCUUUGCCCUUGCCACAGGACAAGGUGACUGUCCUUUGAUCCCACCCCCCUUUUUCUCCUCUGGGAGUCUGUCCUGUCAGCCAUUUCUCCCUUUCUCACAUUGUUCCCCCUCUAGAAUGGAAGCUCCUGAAGGGCAGGAACUGUUUCAAUUUUGUCUUUAUGUCUCCAGUGCCUGGCUCCGGGUGGGUAUUCAAUAAAGAUUUGUUGAUUGAUUGAAUUUUUUUAUUUAUUGACUCUUUCCUUAAUGCUUACAAACUGGUCUCCUUUCUCUUUAAAGAUCC